GACGAACGCUGGCGGCGUGCCUAAUACAUGCAAGUAGAACGCACAGUUUAUACCGUAGCUUGCUACACCAUAGACUGUGAGUUGCGAACGGGUGAGUAACGCGUAGGUAACCUGCCUGGUAGCGGGGGAUAACUAUUGGAAACGAUAGCUAAUACCGCAUAAUAUUGAUUAUUGCAUGAUAAUUAAUUGAAAGGUGCAAUUGCACCACUACCAGAUGGACCUGCGUUGUAUUAGCUAGUAGGUGAGGUAACGGCUCACCUAGGCGACGAUACAUAGCCGACCUGAGAGGGUGAUCGGCCACACUGGGACUGAGACACGGCCCAGACUCCUACGGGAGGCAGCAGUAGGGAAUCUUCGGCAAUGGACGAAAGUCUGACCGAGAAACGCCGCGUGAGUGAAGAAGGUUGUCGGAUCGUAAAGCUCUGUUGUAAGAGAAGAACGGGUGUGAGAGUGGAAAGUUCACACUGUGACGGUAUCUUACCAGAAAGGGACGGCUAACUACGUG
Molecule: ribosomal RNA, 505 nt
Filed under: uncultured bacterium
Lineage: Bacteria
Description: partial 16S ribosomal RNA
Rfam family: Bacterial small subunit ribosomal RNA
Source: RNAcentral